UUAUGUUAUCUAGAAACCGUGCACUUGAUAUGUAUAUACCCCCUUUUUGUUACUACCCCCUUUUUGUUACACCGUGUAUAGGAAAACUAUCACCUAUUCUAGGCACACCAUUUCUCAUAUAUAUGUCAAAAUCAAUAGUACAUAUUACACGAAAACCAUUUUAAAAAACACGUCUCGUUUAAUACAUUUUAAUUCUUAACUCUUUGCAAUAAGACCUAUUUUACAUUUUCAGGACGGUUUGUGUAAGUUUGUUUUUCGUUUGUAUAUAAAUCGAUUUAGUUGGGUGUAUAUGUUUUAAACUAUAUGUUUUGGUGUAUCGGGAAGCAAGUGUAGUGUUUAAAAGAUGGGUUUUCUUAAUAGUUUUAUCAUUGUUUUAGUUGUACUUGUCUUUUUAGCUCAGGAUAUACAAGGCCAUUGGUGGGGCGGACCGGGGUGGUAUAGACCUGGGUACGGGUACGGUUUCGGCCAUGGGUAUGGGCCCGGAUUCGGGCCUGGCUUCGGACCUUAUUACGGACCUGUACUCCCGCCACCGCUACCACCACCGCCACCACCUUUCUUCUUCGGAUGAAUAUGAAUGCCAUCACUUUUCUUAUGUGAAAUUUAAAAUAAAUAAAGGACUGUUUGUAUAGUAA
This is a long non-coding RNA of Spodoptera frugiperda (fall armyworm), 632 nucleotides long. RefSeq lists it as uncharacterized. The record is from RefSeq and is a predicted model, not a curated record. NCBI's taxonomy places the organism in Eukaryota, Metazoa, Arthropoda, Insecta, Lepidoptera, Noctuidae. The transcript has 2 exons.